UAGGGAAUCUUCGGCAAUGGACGAAAGUCUGACCGAGCAACGCCGCGUGAGUGAAGAAGGUUUUCGGAUCGUAAAACUCUGUUGUUAGAGAAGAACAAGGACGUUAGUAACUGAACGUCCCCUGACGGUAUCUAACCAGAAAGCCACGGCUCACUACGUGCCAGCAGCCGCGGUAAUCCGUAGGUGGCAAGCGUUGUCCGGAUUUAUUGGGCGUAAAGCGAGCGCAGGCGGUUUCUUAAGUCUGAUGUGAAAGGCCCCGGCUCAACCGGGGAGGGUCAUUGGAAACUGGGAGACUUGAAUGCAGAAGAGGAGAGUGGAAUUCCAUGUGGAGCGGUGAAAUGCGUAGAUAUAUGGAGGAACACCAGUGGCGAAGGCGGCUCUCUGGUCUGUAACUGACGCUGAGGCUCGAAAGCGUGGGGAGCAAACAGG
This 429-nucleotide ribosomal RNA is filed under the name Gemmatimonadota bacterium. RNAcentral's name for it is "Gemmatimonadetes bacterium partial 16S ribosomal RNA". It matches the Rfam family "Bacterial small subunit ribosomal RNA", at positions 355 to 776 of the family's 1533-position model. The record is from RNAcentral. Lineage: Bacteria; Pseudomonadati; Gemmatimonadota.